CAAUCAUAAAAGGUGGCUUUYAGCUACCACUUACAGAUGGACCCGCGGCGCAUUAGCUAGUUGGUGAGGUAACGGCUCACCAAGGCGACGAUGCGUAGCCGACCUGAGAGGGUGAUCGGCCACACUGGGACUGAGACACGGCCCAGACUCCUACGGGAGGCAGCAGUAGGGAAUCUUCCGCAAUGGACGAAAGUCUGACGGAGCAACGCCGCGUGAGUGAUGAAGGUUUUCGGAUCGUAAAACUCUGUUGUUAGGGAAGAACAAGUACCGUUCGAAUAGGGCGG
This 284-nucleotide ribosomal RNA is filed under the name Bacillus sp. R-33570. Its description in RNAcentral is "partial 16S ribosomal RNA". It matches the Rfam family "Bacterial small subunit ribosomal RNA", at positions 195 to 475 of the family's 1533-position model. Lineage: Bacteria; Bacillati; Bacillota; Bacilli; Caryophanales; Bacillaceae. The record is from RNAcentral.